Molecule: ribosomal RNA, 550 nt
Filed under: Scorpiodoras heckelii
Lineage: Eukaryota; Metazoa; Chordata; Actinopteri; Siluriformes; Doradidae
Description: partial 16S ribosomal RNA
Rfam family: Bacterial large subunit ribosomal RNA
Source: RNAcentral
AGGUCUUGCCUGCCCAGUGACAAGUUAAACGGCCGCGGUAUUUUGACCGUGCGAAGGUAGCGCAAUCACUUGUCUUUUAAAUGAAGACCUGUAUGAAUGGCGGAACGAGGGCUUAACUGUCUCCCCUUUCAAGUCAAUGAAAUUGAUCUGUCCGUGCAGAAGCGGACAUGCCCCUACAAGACGAGAAGACCCUUUGGAGCUUAAGAUGUAAGAUCAACUAUGUCAAGAGCCCCAAAAACUAGGUUAAACUCAAUAGCACCUGAUCCCCAUCUUCGGUUGGGGCGACCACGGGAGAAAACAAAGCUCCCACGCGGACUGGGGCCAACCCCCAAAACCAAGAAAGACACUUCUAAGUCGCAGAAUAUCUGACCAUAAAGAUCCGGCCACCCGCCGAUCAACGGACCAAGUUACCCUAGGGAUAACAGCGCAAUCCCCUUUCAGAGUCCAUAUCGACAAGGGGGCUUACGACCUCGAUGUUGGAUCAGGACAUCCUAAUGGUGCAGCCGCUAUUAAGGGUUCGUUUGUUCAACGAUUAAGUCCUACGUGAUCU